Molecule: transfer RNA, 75 nt
Filed under: Oscillochloris sp.
Lineage: Bacteria; Bacillati; Chloroflexota; Chloroflexia; Chloroflexales; Oscillochloridaceae
Description: tRNA-Val
Rfam family: tRNA
About the family: Transfer RNA (tRNA) molecules are approximately 80 nucleotides in length. Their secondary structure includes four short double-helical elements and three loops (D, anti-codon, and T loops). Further hydrogen bonds mediate the characteristic L-shaped molecular structure. tRNAs have two regions of fundamental functional importance: the anti-codon, which is responsible for specific mRNA codon recognition, and the 3' end, to which the tRNAs corresponding amino acid is attached (by aminoacyl-tRNA synthetases). tRNAs cope with the degeneracy of the genetic code in two manners: having more than one tRNA (with a specific anti-codon) for a particular amino acid; and 'wobble' base-pairing, i.e. permitting non-standard base-pairing at the 3rd anti-codon position.
Source: RNAcentral
CGGCGUGUAGCUCAACAGUGGAGCGCCUCGUUCACACCGAGGAGGAUGCAGGUGCGAGUCCUGCCACGCUGACCA